AUUGAACGCUGGCGGCAUGCCUUACACAUGCAAGUCGAACGGUAACGGGCCUUCGGGUGCCGACGAGUGGCGAACGGGUGAGUAAUACAUCGGAACGUGCCCGAUCGUGGGGGAUAACGAGGCGAAAGCUUUGCUAAUACCGCAUACGAUCUACGGAUGAAAGCAGGGGACCGCAAGGCCUUGCGCGGACGGAGCGGCCGAUGGCAGAUUAGGUAGUUGGUGGGAUAAAAGCUUACCAAGCCGACGAUCUGUAGCUGGUCUGAGAGGAUGAUCAGCCACACUAGGACUGAGACACGGCCCAGACUCCUACGGGAGGCAGCAGUGGGGAAUUUUGGACAAUGGGCGCAAGCCUGAUCCAGCCAUGCCGCGUGCAGGAUGAAGGCCUUCGGGUUGUAAACUGCUUUUGUACGGAACGAAAAGCCUUCUUUUAAUACAGGAGGGUCAUGACGGUACCGUAAGAAUAAGCACCGGCUAACUACGUG
Molecule: ribosomal RNA, 482 nt
Filed under: uncultured bacterium
Lineage: Bacteria
Description: partial 16S ribosomal RNA
Rfam family: Bacterial small subunit ribosomal RNA
Source: RNAcentral